UACAAUGACUUUAUCCAAAUUCACUCAGUAAACAAAGUGUUGAAUAUGGCGUACGAAAGUUCGUAGCUGUCAUUAAUUUUAUUUCAAACUUCAACAAAUUAUAGCGAGAUGAACGUAUGAUCGAUUAGAUGUUGAAUCGACGGAGUACGAUAAUUAAAGAGGAAGAUUUCAGUCGCCUUCGCAUCCAUAACAGCUCGGAAGAUUGGGGUGUUACACUCUUGCAUGUACGAGGAGUUGCUGACCACUACACCACCGAGGAAACAAUCUGUGUGGGAUUGUUAUGGGGUCCAGACAACUGGCCCCUCGGGGGGGGGGGAUCUGAAGGAUAGGAGGUCACUGUUCGGGAGGUAGUCAUCACCGUCGGUUCUUGGAAUUCCCUCACAAGUUUGUGGAUAUCAGGAUAAAACGUCAGCACGACCGGAUUUAAACUGAUUAUGCGUUCAUGUGUAUCAAGCAAAAAACUGUUAUGGAUAGCCAUUUUGUCCGUCAGGUUUGGGUCACGUGUCGAUAAUUGUCUGUUAGGUUCUGAAUGUGGAACUAGGAUUAAAGGUUGGGUGCAGAGUGCCCUCGGUUUAAUGGUAUAUGUUUAUUCUACCUGUGUAUGAUUGACGACCACCGAGUGUGUUGUGGAUGCGAAAGUGUUUGCUUCAUCGUGAAAAUUUCUGUCCACCAA
Molecule: long non-coding RNA, 673 nt
Organism: Chrysoperla carnea
Lineage: Eukaryota; Metazoa; Arthropoda; Insecta; Neuroptera; Chrysopidae
Exons: 4
Source: RefSeq, a predicted model, not a curated record